This 544-nucleotide ribosomal RNA is filed under the name uncultured archaeon. Its description in RNAcentral is "bacterial SSU rRNA". It matches the Rfam family "Archaeal small subunit ribosomal RNA", at positions 333 to 879 of the family's 1478-position model. The record is from RNAcentral.
CCCGCGGCGUCGAUACUUUGCAAUACGCGAAAGCUUGACAGGGCUAUCCCGAGUGCCAUCCGCUGAGGAAGGCUUUUACCCAGUCUAGAACGCUGGGGGAAUAAGGAGAGGGCAAGUCUGGUGUCAGCCGCCGCGGUAAUACCAGCUCUCCGAGUGGUGUGGAUGUUUAUUGGGCCUAAAGCAUCCGUAGCUGGCUAAGUUAGUCCCUUGUUAAAUCCACCGAAUUAAUCGUUGGAUUGCGGGGGAUACUGCUUGGCUAGGGGACGAGAGAGGCAGACGGUAUUUCCGGGGUAGGGGUGAAAUCCUAUAAUCCCGGGAAGACCACCAGUGGCGAAGGCUGUCUGCUAGAACGCGCCCGACGGUGAGGGAUGAAAGCUGGGGGAGCGAACCGGAUUAGAUACCCGGGUAGUCCCAGCUGUAAACGAUGCAGGCUAGGUGUUUGGACGGCCACGUGCCGUUCUAGUGCCGCAGGGAAGCUGUUAAGCCUGCCGCCUGGGGAGUACGAUCGCAAGAUUGAAACUUAAAGGAAUUGGCGGGGGAGCAC